Molecule: ribosomal RNA, 253 nt
Filed under: uncultured prokaryote
Description: partial 16S ribosomal RNA
Rfam family: Bacterial small subunit ribosomal RNA
Source: RNAcentral
UACAUGGGGUGCAAACGUUGCUCGGAAUUAUUGGGCGUAAAGCGCACGUAGGUGGUCUGUUAUGUCAGAUGUGAAAGCCCUCGGCUUAACUGAGGAAGUGCACCUGAAACUGGCAGGCUUGAGUACGAAAGAGGGUCGCGGAAUUCCCAGUGUAGAGGUGAAAUUCGUAGAUAUUGGGAAGAACACCGGUGGCGAAGGCGGCUCACUGGCCAGUUUCUGACGCUGCAGCGCGAAAGCGUGGGGAUCAAACAGG